CUCGUAGGCGGUUUGUCGCGUCGUCUGUGAAAACCCGCAGCUCAACUGCGGGCUUGCAGGCGAUACGGGCAGACUAGAGUACUGCAGGGGAGACUGGAAUUCCUGGUGUAGCGGUGAAAUGCGCAGAUAUCAGGAGGAACACCGGUGGCGAAGGCGGGUCUCUGGGCAGUAACUGACGCUGAGGAGCGAAAGCGUGGGUAGCAAACAGGAUUAGAUACCCUGGUAGUCCACGCCGUAAACGGUGGGCGCUAGGUGUGGGUUUCCUUCCACGGGAUCCGUGCCGUAGCUAACGCAUUAAGCGCCCCGCCUGGGGAGUACGGCCGCAAGGCUAAA
This 333-nucleotide ribosomal RNA is filed under the name uncultured Rhodococcus sp. RNAcentral describes it as "bacterial SSU rRNA". It matches the Rfam family "Bacterial small subunit ribosomal RNA", at positions 568 to 898 of the family's 1533-position model. The record is from RNAcentral. Lineage: Bacteria; Bacillati; Actinomycetota; Actinomycetes; Mycobacteriales; Nocardiaceae.